UACGUAGGUGGCAAGCGUUGUCCGGAAUGAUUGGGCGUAAAGGGCGCGUAGGCGGCUUUAUAAGUCUGGAGUGAAAGUCCUCUUUUCAAGGGAGGAAUUGCUUUGGAAACUAUAGAGCUUGAGUGCAGGAGAGGUUAUCGGAAUUCCCGGUGUAGCGGUGAAAUGCGUAGAGAUCGGGAGGAACACCAGUGGCGAAGGCGGGUAACUGGACUGCAACUGACGCUGAGGCGCGAAGGUGUGGGGAGCAAACAGGAUUAGAUACCCUGGUAGUCCCU
RNAcentral lists this ribosomal RNA (275 nucleotides) under uncultured prokaryote. RNAcentral describes it as "partial 16S ribosomal RNA". It matches the Rfam family "Bacterial small subunit ribosomal RNA", at positions 524 to 798 of the family's 1533-position model. The record is from RNAcentral.